Molecule: non-coding RNA, 1051 nt
Organism: Biomphalaria pfeifferi
Lineage: Eukaryota; Metazoa; Mollusca; Gastropoda; Planorbidae
Source: the annotation of a GenBank genome assembly
UCCCCCCCCCCCUUUGUUUUUUUUUUUUUCAAGAGUUGGUGUACAGUGUCAGAUCAGAGAGAAGAGUUUAAACAAUGUUUGAUGAGUGCUCAUGAGAGUUGUGGGGGUUUUUUUAUGUUUAACUUACUAAAUCUGACUUUCUUAGUAAAAAUGAAAUAACUGAAUAAAUUGUUGACAUGCUAGCAAGCACAUCAGAUUGAUCGUGGCCUCUUUAGUCUCAAGACGUAAAAUGCCACAGAAAUAAAAUAUAAUUUUCAUAUUCUUAUACACCGGAAACUUAAUAUUACUGUAAACAAAGCAAUCAACUUUACAUAAUCUUUUAUAUUGCCAGUAUAACCUUUUUGCUAAAAAUUUAGGGACAACCAAAGACAAAAAACUUUGUAAGCUUGAUACUUGUGACCCAUAAAUUUGACACUGCCCUUAUACAAUUAGUAAGGACCCUAAGUUUGGAAACUGCUAUAAAACAUUACAACUGUCUCUUUUUUUUUAUUUGUAUUUAUUUUUGAAUGGGAACAUACUGACAAAAAUGUAAUGUUUAUGUUAAUGAGCCGUUUCUAGUUUGAUAAGUAGAUCUAGCAUCGAUGUCAGUGUAAUGAAGUCCUAUAACUCUGGCUGUUAUGAUAAUGAUUGGACUUAUGAUUUCUAAUGUUGUAGUUAUUUAUUUGUUAUUGUUGUCAUUUGAAGCAGUGUAGUUUUAAAAAUAGUGAAUGGAUGUUUACAAGGCUUUUAAUGACAUAGAAUAUUGAACAAUAAAAUAAUGAAAUGGUUCUCAGUGUUGAAAGGAAACUGUCAAAGUGUUUUGUUUGUUUUUCUUCAUUCCCUCUCUACUGUCUCUGGUCAGCUUGUUUCUUUCUUUGUUGUAAUAUUAGUUUGAAAAAUGAAGUCAAUCUGGCACUGCCUGGAUCAUAAAUAAAUAUAAUUGAAGGGAAAUCAAAUUCAUUGCAGUCUCCUUAGCAGUGUUCAUUGGGGAAUUGAAUGAUGAUUUGGCCAGUCUGCAGCUUAAUGAAUGUCAUGAUGAUUUGGCAAGUCUGCAGCUUAAGGAAUGUCAUGA